UACGUAGGGUGCGAGCGUUGUCCGGAUUUAUUGGGCGUAAAGAGCUCGUAGGCGGUUUGUCGCGUCGGCCGUGAAAUCUCCACGCUUAACGUGGAGCGUGCGGUCGAUACGGGCAGACUUGAGUUCGGUAGGGGAGACUGGAAUUCCUGGUGUAGCGGUGAAAUGCGCAGAUAUCAGGUGGAACACCCGUAGCGAAGGCGGCACUCUGGGCCGGAACUGACGCUGAGGAGCGAAAGCGAGGGGAGCGAACAGG
This 253-nucleotide ribosomal RNA is filed under the name uncultured bacterium. RNAcentral's name for it is "partial 16S ribosomal RNA". It matches the Rfam family "Bacterial small subunit ribosomal RNA", at positions 524 to 776 of the family's 1533-position model. The record is from RNAcentral.